RNAcentral lists this unclassified non-coding RNA (326 nucleotides) under soil metagenome. Its description in RNAcentral is "partial contains 5.8S ribosomal RNA, internal transcribed spacer 2, and large subunit ribosomal RNA". The stretch from base 1 to 120 matches the Rfam family "5.8S ribosomal RNA", at positions 35 to 154 of the family's 154-position model. The record is from RNAcentral.
GAUGAAGAACGUAGCGAAAUGCGAUAAGUAAUGUGAAUUGCAGAAUUCAGUGAAUCAUCGAAUCUUUGAACGCACAUUGCGCCCCUUGGUAUUCCGAGGGGCAUGCCUGUUCGAGCGUCAUAUUAACCACUCCCGCUUGCGGGGUCUUGGGCUUCGCCUCCGGGCGGGCCUUAAAGUCAGUGGCGGUGCCGUCGGGCUCUACGCGUAGUAAAUUUUCUCGCGAUAGGGUCCCGGUGGAUGCUUGCCAACAACCCCCAACUUCUUAAGGUUGACCUCGGAUCAGGUAGGGAUACCCGCUGAACUUAAGCAUAUCAAUAAGCGGAGGA